UUACUGGCUCAGAACGAACGGCUGGCAGCGUGGAUUAGGCAUGCAAGUCGAACGGGAUCCGGUAGGCAGCAAUGUCGGCCGGUGAGAGUGGCGGAAGGGCGAGGAACACGUGGGCAACCUGUCUUGAGGUGGGGAAAACCGCUGGAAACGGCGGCUAAUACCGAAUGUAGCGCCCGCUCGCAUGAGCGGAGCGCCAAAGGGGGCGAAAGCUCCCCCUCUUCGAGGGCCCGCGCACCAUCAGCUUGUUGGCGGGUAACGGCCACAAGGCUCACGGUUAGCUGGUCUGAGAGGAUGGCCAGCCGCACUGGGACUGAGAUACUGCCCAGACUCCUACGGGAGGCUGCAGUCGAGGAUCAUUUGCAAUGGGCGAAAGCCUGACAAUGCGACGCUGCGUGGAGGAUGAAGGCCCUCGGGUUGUAAACUCCUGUCAUGGGGGAAAAGGAAACCCUGCCCAAUACGCAGGGAAUUUGAUGGUACCCCAAGAGGAAGCGACGGCUAACUCUGUGCCAGCAGCCGC
RNAcentral lists this ribosomal RNA (517 nucleotides) under uncultured bacterium. RNAcentral describes it as "bacterial SSU rRNA". It matches the Rfam family "Bacterial small subunit ribosomal RNA", at positions 16 to 518 of the family's 1533-position model. The record is from RNAcentral.